Long non-coding RNA from Stegodyphus dumicola, 357 nucleotides. The record is from RefSeq and is a predicted model, not a curated record. Lineage: Eukaryota; Metazoa; Arthropoda; Arachnida; Araneae; Eresidae.
UUUGAAUGAAAUGAAUUGAGUACUUUUUUAGGAAGAAUCACCAGAUAGGAACAGAAAGAAAUCUGCUCGUUCCCCUAGAAAAACACAGAAAAAUCAUGUGGAUUCUGAUCAGGAUCAUGAAGAAGCAGAUGAAGAAUCACCAGAUAGGAAUAGAAAGAAAUCUGCUCGUUCCCCCAGAAAAACGCGGAAAAAUCAUGUUGAUUCUGAUCAGGAUUAUGAAGAGGCAGAUGAAGAGGGCCCCCCCUAAUUAGAUAAGACCGAGGAAUAUUGGAGAAACUGAUAUAGAAACUUUGGUUCAUAAAUGUGUCUAUUAUCUGCUUAUUGCUGACCAAAAGAAGCAUGCUAUUAAAAAAACAG